CGAACUGUGCAAACGUUAUUCGGAAUCACUGGGCUUAAAGGGUGCGUAGGCGGUCGCACAAGUCAGGUGUGAAAUCCCCCGGCUCAACCGGGGAAUUGCGCUUGAAACUAGGUGACUUGAGUGAGGUAAGGGUACGCGGAACUUCUGGUGGAGCGGUGAAAUGUGUAGAUAUCAGAAGGAACGCCGGUGGCGAAAGCGGCGUACUGGGCCUUGUCUGACGCUGAGGCACGAAAGCUAGGGAAGUGAACGGGAUUAGAUACCCUGGUAAUCCUAGCCGUAAACACUGAGCACUGGAGGGGAGGGGCUUCGGCCGUUUCCCUCGUAGCGAAAGCGUUAAGUGCUCCGCCUGGGGAGUAUGGUCGCAAGGCUG
This 370-nucleotide ribosomal RNA is filed under the name uncultured organism. RNAcentral describes it as "bacterial SSU rRNA". It matches the Rfam family "Bacterial small subunit ribosomal RNA", at positions 526 to 896 of the family's 1533-position model. The record is from RNAcentral.